RNAcentral lists this ribosomal RNA (456 nucleotides) under Candidatus Pelagibacter sp. Its description in RNAcentral is "bacterial SSU rRNA". It matches the Rfam family "Bacterial small subunit ribosomal RNA", at positions 1 to 499 of the family's 1533-position model. The record is from RNAcentral. Lineage: Bacteria; Pseudomonadati; Pseudomonadota; Alphaproteobacteria; Candidatus Pelagibacterales; Candidatus Pelagibacteraceae.
UUUAAACUUGAGAGUUUGAUCAUGGCUCAGAACGUACGCUGGCGGCACGCCUUAUACAUGCAAGUCGAACGAAGUAGCAAUACUUAGUGGCAGACGGGUGAGUAACAUGUGGGUAUCUUCCCUUUGGUGAGGAAUAACACGAGGAAACUUGUGCUAAUACCUCAUAAGUCUUUACGGAGAAAGCUUUAUGCGCCAAUGGAUGAGCCCGCACUUGAUUAGUUUGUUGGUGGGGUAAUAGCCUACCAAGACUUUGAUCAAUAGCUGAUUUGAGAGGAUGAUCAGCCACAUUGGGACUGAGACACGGCCCAAACUCCUACGGGAGGCAGCAGUAGGGAAUCUUGCACAAUGGAGGAAACUCUGAUGCAGCGAUGCCGCGUGAGUGAAGAAGGCCUUUGGGUUGUAAAGCUCUUUCGUCGGGGAAGAAAAUGACUGUACCCGAAUAAGAAGGUCCGGCUA